RNAcentral lists this unclassified non-coding RNA (352 nucleotides) under uncultured fungus. RNAcentral's name for it is "sequence contains ITS1, 5.8S rRNA gene". The stretch from base 304 to 352 matches the Rfam family "5.8S ribosomal RNA", at positions 1 to 49 of the family's 154-position model. Lineage: Eukaryota; Fungi. The record is from RNAcentral.
UUUCCGUAGGUGAACCUGCGGAAGGAUCAUUAUUGAAUACGAUUUGUACUGAUGUUGGCUCUUCACUGGGCAUGUGCUCGUCCAUCUUAUUUAUCUUCUCUUGUGCACAUUUUGUAGUCUUGCAUACCUCUGCGCAAAUUCAUUUUGCUGCAGCUUGGGAGAUGCUAACCCUUCUCUCGUUGCCUUUGUGCAAGCCUUGGGGAAUGUUAACCCUUUCAUCGCGUCUUCAAGACUAUGUUUUCAUAUACACUAUAAAGUUACAGAAUGUCUUUUAACGACUGCUUGCAGUCAUUAAACCUAUACAACUUUCAGCAACGGAUCUCUUGGCUCUCCUAUCGAUGAAGAACGCAGC